ACAGACCACAGAGACAGAGCCGGUAAUUAAUCUUCGCUGAGCUUCGGAUUUCUUGGCAAGCUUUGUGAGCUGGCAUUCGACGCGCAUGCUGACAUGACUCUCUGAUCCCUCCACACACGUUGGAUAAAAGGAAAGAGCUGUCAGGGAAAAUGGUCUGUGUUCUGACCACUAGAGGACACCUGAGAGCAAGAUACAGCGCUGAGAUGCGGAGGUUAGGCCUGGUCAUCUUGGGCCUGGCCACAGGGGAAACAGCCCAGCCACCACCGGGAAGGAGACCUGCCUAUUAUAAGGGCUGACACCAGUGAGGUCUACCACAGCCACUUUGACUUCUGAAAUAGAAUUCUCAGUCACUCCUGGAAGCUGGCCUCAGGUCUCCGGCUCCUUAUCUUUGUACUUCAGGAGGCAGCUCAACUCACUCACAGGCCCCGGAGAAGAACUGUUAAUCAGAAAAGUCCCCAUGCAUCUCUUCAGAGGCAGAAUCCUAACCACUUCUGUUGGCAGAGACCUCGCUGGGGAAGAUGACAGAAGCAAGGCGCCCACCUUGACCGCUCGUGUCUGUGAGCUUGGACAAGCUCCGGUAAUUGGUUUCCACACGACCCGCUUAUAGGGAACACACGGCAAACCUCUCAAAGGUCAGUGGGAACAGAUACAGUCUGCCUUCAACUCUCAGCAAACAGAACAACCCUCAGACUGAGAGGACAUCCGAGAUUAACGGUCUCCAUGCCCCGCAGGAGAAGUCAACAGGUUCAGAGCUGCCGGAGAUGAUCGGUGCGGUGGAAUUUAUGAGCAUGGCUUCACACACCAAGCACCGGAGGGACCGUCUUUGAAGAGAACGAGUCCCCCGGAAGAUGCGCAGUCCAGCUGUGGAGUGAACUCUUUUUACCUUUUGCCUUCCUGUUUCAUCCCGACUCUGCACCGUAAUGCAGGCCACAGGAAUUG
Molecule: long non-coding RNA, 939 nt
Organism: Meriones unguiculatus (Mongolian gerbil)
Lineage: Eukaryota; Metazoa; Chordata; Mammalia; Rodentia; Muridae
Exons: 3
Source: RefSeq, a predicted model, not a curated record